AUUGAACGCUGGCGGCAUGCCUUACACAUGCAAGUCGAACGGUAACAGGUCUUCGGAUGCUGACGAGUGGCGAACGGGUGAGUAAUACAUCGGAACGUGCCCAGACGUGGGGGAUAACGAGGCGAAAGCUUUGCUAAUACCGCAUACGAUCUAAGGAUGAAAGCAGGGGACCGCAAGGCCUUGCGCGUUUGGAGCGGCCGAUGGCAGAUUAGGUAGUUGGUGGGAUAAAAGCUUACCAAGCCGACGAUCUGUAGCUGGUCUGAGAGGACGACCAGCCACACUGGGACUGAGACACGGCCCAGACUCCUACGGGAGGCAGCAGUGGGGAAUUUUGGACAAUGGGCGAAAGCCUGAUCCAGCAAUGCCGCGUGCAGGAUGAAGGCCUUCGGGUUGUAAACUGCUUUUGUACGGAACGAAAAGGCUCUGGCUAAUACCUGGGGCACAUGACGGUACCGGAAGAAUAAGCACCGGCUAACUACGUG
RNAcentral lists this ribosomal RNA (482 nucleotides) under uncultured bacterium. Its description in RNAcentral is "partial 16S ribosomal RNA". It matches the Rfam family "Bacterial small subunit ribosomal RNA", at positions 30 to 507 of the family's 1533-position model. The record is from RNAcentral.